AGAGUUUGAUCCUGGCUCAGAGCGAACGCUGGCGGCAGGCUUAACACAUGCAAGUCGAGCGGACGUAGCAAUACGUCAGCGGCAGACGGGUGAGUAACGCGUGGGAACGUACCUUUUGGUUCGGAACAACCCAGGGAAACUUGGGCUAAUACCGGAUAAGCCCUAACGGGGAAAGAUUUAUCGCCGAAAGAUCGGCCCGCGUCUGAUUAGCUAGUUGGUGAGGUAAUGGCUCACCAAGGCGACGAUCAGUAGCUGGUCUGAGAGGAUGAUCAGCCACAUUGGGACUGAGACACGGCCCAAACUCCUACGGGAGGCAGCAGUGGGGAAUAUUGGACAAUGGGCGCAAGCCUGAUCCAGCCAUGCCGCGUGAGUGAUGAAGGCCCUAGGGUUGUAAAGCUCUUUUGUGCGGGAAGAUAAUGACGGUACCGCAAGAAUAAGCCCCGGCUAACUUCGUGCCAGCAGCCGCGGUAAUACGAAGGGGGCUAGCGUUGCUCGGAAUCACUGGGCGUAAAGGGUGCGUAGGCGGGUCUUUAAGUCAGGGGUGAAAUCCUGGAGCUCAACUCCAGAACUGCCUUUGAUACUGAGGAUCUUGAGUUCGGGAGAGGUGAGUGGAACUGCGAGUGUAGAGGUGAAAUUCGUAGAUAUUCGCAAGAACACCAGUGGCGAAGGCGGCUCACUGGCCCGAUACUGACGCUGAGGCACGAAAGCGUGGGGAGCAAACAGGAUUAGAUACCCUAGUAGUCC
RNAcentral lists this ribosomal RNA (744 nucleotides) under uncultured bacterium. Its description in RNAcentral is "bacterial SSU rRNA". It matches the Rfam family "Bacterial small subunit ribosomal RNA", at positions 8 to 796 of the family's 1533-position model. The record is from RNAcentral.